RNAcentral lists this transfer RNA (71 nucleotides) under Ictidomys tridecemlineatus (thirteen-lined ground squirrel). RNAcentral's name for it is "Spermophilus tridecemlineatus (thirteen-lined ground squirrel) tRNA". It matches the Rfam family "tRNA". Rfam says of the family: Transfer RNA (tRNA) molecules are approximately 80 nucleotides in length. Their secondary structure includes four short double-helical elements and three loops (D, anti-codon, and T loops). The record is from Rfam by way of RNAcentral. Lineage: Eukaryota; Metazoa; Chordata; Mammalia; Rodentia; Sciuridae.
GUGGCUGUGGCUCAGUGGUAGCGCACUUGCCUAGCAUGUGUGAAGCUCUGGGUUCAAUUCUCAGCACCACA